This 465-nucleotide ribosomal RNA is filed under the name uncultured Klebsiella sp. RNAcentral describes it as "bacterial SSU rRNA". It matches the Rfam family "Bacterial small subunit ribosomal RNA", at positions 338 to 795 of the family's 1533-position model. The record is from RNAcentral. Lineage: Bacteria; Pseudomonadati; Pseudomonadota; Gammaproteobacteria; Enterobacterales; Enterobacteriaceae.
CCUACGGGUGGCUGCAGUGGGGAAUAUUGCACAAUGGGCGCAAGCCUGAUGCAGCCAUGCCGCGUGUGUGAAGAAGGCCUUCGGGUUGUAAAGCACUUUCAGCGGGGAGGAAGGCGUUAAGGUUAAUAACCUUGGCGAUUGACGUUACCCGCAGAAGAAGCACCGGCUAACUCCGUGCCAGCAGCCGCGGUAAUACGGAGGGUGCAAGCGUUAAUCGGAAUUACUGGGCGUAAGGCGCACGCAGGCGGUCUGUCAAGUCGGAUGUGAAAUCCCCGGGCUCAACCUGGGAACUGCAUUCGAAACUGGCAGGCUAGAGUCUUGUAGAGGGGGGUAGAAUUCCAGGUGUAGCGGUGAAAUGCGUAGAGAUCUGGAGGAAUACCGGUGGCGAAGGCGGCCCCCUGGACAAAGACUGACGCUCAGGUGCGAAAGCGUGGGGAGCAAACAGGAUUAGAUACCCCAGUAGUU